UACAGAGGGUGCAAGCGUUGUUCGGAAUUAUUGGGCGUAAAGCGCGUGUAGGCGGUCCGGUAAGUCCGCUGUGAAAGUCGAGGGCUCAACCCUCGAAUGCCGGUGGAUACUGUCGGGCUAGAGUGCGGAAGAGGCGAGUGGAAUUCCUGGUGUAGCGGUGAAAUGCGCAGAUAUCAGGAGGAACACCUAUUGCGAAGGCAGCUCGCUGGGACGCAACUGACGCUGAGACGCGAAAGCGUGGGGAGCAAACAGG
Molecule: ribosomal RNA, 253 nt
Filed under: uncultured bacterium
Lineage: Bacteria
Description: partial 16S ribosomal RNA
Rfam family: Bacterial small subunit ribosomal RNA
Source: RNAcentral